ACGGAGGGUGCAAGCGUUAUCCGGAUUCACUGGGUUUAAAGGGUGCGUAGGAGGGCAGGUAAGUCAGUGGUGAAAUCUCCGGGCUUAACUCGGAAACUGCCGUUGAUACUAUCUGUCUUGAAUACCGUGGAGGUGAGCGGAAUAUGUCAUGUAGCGGUGAAAUGCUUAGAUAUGACAUAGAACACCCAUUGCGAAGGCAGCUUACUACGGAUUGAUUGACACUGAGGCACGAAAGCGUGGGGAUCAAACAGGA
This 253-nucleotide ribosomal RNA is filed under the name uncultured prokaryote. RNAcentral describes it as "partial 16S ribosomal RNA". It matches the Rfam family "Bacterial small subunit ribosomal RNA", at positions 525 to 777 of the family's 1533-position model. The record is from RNAcentral.